Molecule: ribosomal RNA, 1201 nt
Filed under: Strabomantis sulcatus (Nauta robber frog)
Lineage: Eukaryota; Metazoa; Chordata; Amphibia; Anura; Strabomantidae
Description: partial large subunit ribosomal RNA
Rfam family: Bacterial large subunit ribosomal RNA
Source: RNAcentral
AGCUGGUUGCUUGAGAAAAGAAUUUUAGUUCAGCCUAGAGCCACCUCAAUUAUCUUUAAUAACCCUCACAACUCUAGAGUAAUUCAAAUAAGGUACAGCCUAUUUGAAACAGGACACAACCUAAACUAAUGGGUAAAUCUCCGAUUCCGAGCAGCGGUAGGCCUAAAAGCAGCCACCCUCUCCCAUAGCGUUAAACCUUAACUGCUCAAUCCAUCAAUACCUAACCCUUCAAUGAACCCUUUACUUGUACCAAGCAAUUCUAUGCCGCAUAGAAAAUUUUAUGUUAAAACUAGUAACAAGAAGAAAACCUUCUCUAUAAUGCAAACUUAAAUCAAAAAGGACCCCCCAUUGAUAAUUAUAUGGCCCUAAACUUAUAGUAGUAACACCACAAGAAAAACCUACUCACAACCCCAUUAACCUAACACAAGAGCAUUUCAAGAAAGAUUAAAAAAAAAAGAAGGAACUCGGCAAACACAAAUCCCGCCUGUUUACCAAAAACAUCGCCUCUUGAUAACACAUAAGAGGUCCAGCCUGCCCAGUGACAUCAGUUUAACGGCCGCGGUAUCCUAACCGUGCGAAGGUAGCGUAAUCACUUGUCUUUUAAAUAGAGACUCGUAUGAAAGGCAUCACGAGGAUUUAACUGUCUCCUUUUUUUAAUCAGUUAAACUAAUCUUCCCGUGAAGAAGCGGGAAUAAAUAUAUAAGACGAGAAGACCCUAUGGAGCUUUAAACAUAUGGCAUUUGCUUCAUUAUUUUAAACUUAAACACUUAGCACUUUGACCAGAAGUUUUAGGUUGGGGCGACCGCGGAGUAAAACCUAACCUCCACGUUGUACAGAAUCUUCUUAAGCUAAAAGCUACGCCUUCAAGCAUCAACAAAUUGACAUUUAUUGACCCACUUUUUGAUCAACGAACCAAGUUACCCUAGGGAUAACAGCGCAAUCCAUUUCAAGAGCUCAUAUCGACAAAUGGGUUUACGACCUCGAUGUUGGAUCAGGGUAACCUAGUGGUGCAGCCGCUGCUAAGAGUUCGUUUGUUCAACGAUUAAACCCCUACGUGAUCUGAGUUCAGACCGGAGCAAUCCAGGUCAGUUUCUAUCUAUAAAAAGAUUUUCCCAGUACGAAAGGAUCAGAAAAUCAUGGCCUACAAGACACUCGAGCCAUACUAAACAUUUUUGAUAUCAACUCAAAAAAGAUAACCCUU